This 250-nucleotide ribosomal RNA is filed under the name uncultured bacterium. Its description in RNAcentral is "partial 16S ribosomal RNA". It matches the Rfam family "Bacterial small subunit ribosomal RNA", at positions 524 to 773 of the family's 1533-position model. The record is from RNAcentral.
UACGUAUGUCCCAAGCGUUAUCCGGAUUUAUUGGGCGUAAAGCGAGCGCAGGCGGUUAUUUAAGUCUGAUGUGAAAGCCUACGGCUCAACCGUAGAAUUGCAUCGGAAACUGGAUAACUUGAGUGCAGUAGAGGAGAGUGGAACUCCAUGUGUAGCGGUGAAAUGCGUAGAUAUAUGGAAGAACACCAGAGGCGAAGGCGGCUCUCUGGACUGUAACUGACGCUGAGGCUCGAAAGUGUGGGUAGCAAAC